UACGUAGGGUGCAAGCGUUAACCGGAAUUACUGGGCGUAAAGCGUGCGCAGGCGGUGAUGUAAGACAGUUGUGAAAUCCCCGGGCUCAACCUGGGAACUGCAUCUGUGACUGCAUUGCUGGAGUGCGGCAGAGGGGGAUGGAAUUCCGCGUGUAGCAGUGAAAUGCGUAGAUAUGCGGAGGAACACCGAUGGCGAAGGCAAUCCCCUGGGCCUGCACUGACGCUCAUGCACGAAAGCGUGGGGAGCAAACAGG
This 253-nucleotide ribosomal RNA is filed under the name uncultured bacterium. RNAcentral describes it as "partial 16S ribosomal RNA". It matches the Rfam family "Bacterial small subunit ribosomal RNA", at positions 524 to 776 of the family's 1533-position model. The record is from RNAcentral.